This is a long non-coding RNA of Glycine soja, 604 nucleotides long. RefSeq lists it as uncharacterized. The transcript is spliced from 3 exons. The record is from RefSeq and is a predicted model, not a curated record. Lineage: Eukaryota; Viridiplantae; Streptophyta; Magnoliopsida; Fabales; Fabaceae.
CAAAAUGUGCAGUGGCUUUAAAUAUUUUAGAAAAGUUGAUGACCUUUGGUUCAAAUCCUAUUUUGUGUUGUUUUUCUCUAUUUUUAUAUUCAGGUGUUCACAAACAACAAAAAGUAGCGUAAACAACAAAAAAAGCAAUGUACUGGGCUAUGCGAGAAAGCAAUAAACAAACAUUGGGCAGCGUGUGAGAACAAUAGGCAGGUAUAGGACUGUGUGAAAGUAGAUAUAAUAGACAGAACAAAGUGCCAAUAUUAACGCUGUUCGGGCAUCGUUUAUUGUUGAAGAAUGCACAAGACUUGGUUUUGGUGAUGUUCUUUCCUCUGAGUCUGCCGUUUUUCUUAGUAAUACUAUGCCCAUUCAGGAUGCAAAUAUAUAUGGAUGUAGUUGGUCUAUAUGCUAUCAAAGUGUUUCAUGACUCCUGUUAAAGUCAGACCUACCAAUUAACUUGGUGAGGCUAGCUGCUAACAGGGGGGCUAGUGGUAUUGAUGGGUUACUUAGCACAGCCAUUGGUUUUUCUGUAGGAUGCAACAAAAAGGUGUUGUGUGUAAUUGGAGAUAUUUCUUUAUUGCAUGAGACAAACGGUCUGACAAUUUUCAACCAGCGG